GAUGAACGCUGGCGGCAUGCCUAAUACAUGCAAGUCGAACGGACCGAAGGGAAAGCUUGCUUUCCUUGAAGUCAGUGGCGAACGGGUGAGUAACACGUAGGUAACCUGCCCAUGUGCCCGGGACAACGCCUGGAAACGGGUGCUAAAACCGGAUAGGUAGAGAGAUCGCAUGAACUUUCUAUUAAAGGGGCUACGGCCCUGAACAUGGAUGGACCUGCGGUGCAUUAGCUAGUUGGUGAGGUAACGGCCCAUCAAGGCGACGAUGCAUAGCCGACCUGAGAGGGCGAACGGCCACAUUGGGACUGAGACACGGCCCAAACUCCUACGGGAGGCAGCAGUAGGGAAUUUUCGUCAAUGGGGGGAACCCUGAACGAGCAAUGCCGCGUGAGUGAAGACGGUCUUCGGAUUGUAAAGCUCUGUUGCGAGAGAAAAACGACACGGAUAGGGAAUGAUCCGUGGGUGAUGGUAUCUCGCCAGAAAGUC
RNAcentral lists this ribosomal RNA (483 nucleotides) under uncultured bacterium. Its description in RNAcentral is "bacterial SSU rRNA". It matches the Rfam family "Bacterial small subunit ribosomal RNA", at positions 28 to 492 of the family's 1533-position model. The record is from RNAcentral.